This 73-nucleotide transfer RNA is filed under the name Pelodiscus sinensis (Chinese soft-shelled turtle). It matches the Rfam family "tRNA". From Rfam's summary of the family: Transfer RNA (tRNA) molecules are approximately 80 nucleotides in length. Their secondary structure includes four short double-helical elements and three loops (D, anti-codon, and T loops). Lineage: Eukaryota; Metazoa; Chordata; Testudines; Trionychidae. The record is from Rfam by way of RNAcentral.
GGAGGGGUAGCUCAGUGGUUUGAGCAUUGGCUUGCUAAACCCAAGGUUGUGAGUUCAAUUCUUGACCAGGCCA